UACGUAGGGGGCUAGCGUUAUCCGGAAUUACUGGGCGUAAAGGGUGCGUAGGUAGUUUCUUAAGUCAGAGGUGAAAGGCUACGGCUCAACCGUAGUAAGCCUUUGAAACUGGGAAACUUGAGUGCAGGAGAGGAGAGUGGAAUUCCUAGUGUAGCGGUGAAAUGCGUAGAUAUUAGGAGGAACACCAGUUGCGAAGGCGGCUCUCUGGACUGUAACUGACACUGAGGCACGAAAGCGUGGGGAGCAAACAGG
RNAcentral lists this ribosomal RNA (252 nucleotides) under uncultured bacterium. Its description in RNAcentral is "partial 16S ribosomal RNA". It matches the Rfam family "Bacterial small subunit ribosomal RNA", at positions 524 to 776 of the family's 1533-position model. The record is from RNAcentral.